Molecule: ribosomal RNA, 470 nt
Filed under: uncultured bacterium
Lineage: Bacteria
Description: partial 16S ribosomal RNA
Rfam family: Bacterial small subunit ribosomal RNA
Source: RNAcentral
GACGAACGCUGGCCGCGUGCUUAACACAUGCAAGUCGAACGGUGAACGAGGGAGCUUGCUCCCUCCGGAUCAGUGGCGAACGGGUGAGUAACACGUGAGCAAUCUGCCCCGAACUCUGGGAUAAGCGUUGGAAACGACGUCUAAUACCGGAUACGACGCGGGAGGGCAUCCUCUCCGCGUGGAAAGAACUUCGGUUGGGGAUGAGCUCGCGGCCUAUCAGCUUGUUGGUGAGGUAACGGCUCACCAAGGCGACGACGGGUAGCCGGCCUGAGAGGGUGACCGGCCACACUGGGACUGAGACACGGCCCAGACUCCUACGGGAGGCAGCAGUGGGGAAUAUUGCACAAUGGGCGCAAGCCUGAUGCAGCAACGCCGCGUGAGGGACGACGGCCUUCGGGUUGUAAACCUCUUUUAGCAGGGAAGAAGCGAAAGUGACGGUACCUGCAGAAAAAGCACCGGCUAACUACGUG